GAUGGACAGCUGGCCUCAAGGGAACACUGCAAAGUGGCUCUAGGAAGAAGCCACUGUCCCUCCAGACCAUAAAAAUGGCUACCAAGGGCAGAGCCAGCAGCUUUCGCUGUAAAGUUUCUCAAGAAAAUCACAGAUAUUCCCCUCUGUGAUGUUCAGCUCAGCCUGGAAAGGAGAGGUAGAAACUGAGAGUUGAAGAGGCUGAAUAAUUUCUCAAGCACACUCCCAACUCGACCACCCACAAGCAAAAAGGCAGAGCUGGGAUUCAAACACAGGUAUGACUGUGUGUGGACAUCUCCCCUGUGCUAUGCUCCCUGAAGGAAAAUUCUAAGUGGUGUUGUUUCUGGGAGAAAUCUACCUGUGUGGUCUUUAAACCUACUCUGACAGGAGCAAGGGCCACCACUCUGU
Molecule: non-coding RNA, 405 nt
Filed under: Pan troglodytes (chimpanzee)
Lineage: Eukaryota; Metazoa; Chordata; Mammalia; Primates; Hominidae
Also listed under: 1 other name
Source: RNAcentral